Molecule: long non-coding RNA, 10562 nt
Filed under: Zostera marina
Lineage: Eukaryota; Viridiplantae; Streptophyta; Magnoliopsida; Alismatales; Zosteraceae
Description: long non-coding RNA (ZMAR_LNC000178)
Source: RNAcentral
AAGAUAAAAUCUUCCAUUUCUCGCCGGCCUCUAUUGCGCGACUUAAAAAACAAGUCAAUUCUGAGAUCGUCACCGUGGACAUAGAGACUGACAAUCGGAAAUCUAAAGCACCAGUGAUCUCAUCUCUCCUAUCCGUAUCUGCGUUAAUCUGGAGAUCGAUCACAAGAGCUCGGUGUUUACCAAAGACUGAACUGGUAAGUUUUAAACUGGCGUGCAAUUACCGGUCAAGAAUGUUACCUCCACUUCCGCCGACAUACUUCGGAAACUGCAUCGGAGCAGUCUCCACCGUCCCCAUCCCUUCCGGCGAUCUUCUCGCACGAAACCUUGGACAGACGGCUUCCCUAUUACACGGCAUCGUGAGUUCGGUGAAGGAUGACGUUAUAAUACGGAAAGAAAUCGACAGAUAUGUGUCGGAACCUGUAUUUUUCUCAAUCAGUGGCUUCGCAAAGAACAAUGGUGUUGGGAUGACAAGUUCACCGCGGUUUGAGGUAUACGAGUGUGAGUUUGGAUUGGGAAAGCCGUUCGGAGUAAUGAUCGGAGGCGCUAAUAUCUAUGACGGGAAGGUGACAUCUUUUCCCGGAAGAGAAGGACAUGGGAGCAUGGAUAUGGUUAUUUGUCUCUCGCCGGAGACGAUGGCGAAACUUGAGGGUGAUUUGGAGUUUCUGAACUUUAUAGAAGUGAUUUAGAUUUACCGAGGUAAUUUAUAUAAAUACCCUUUAUAUAUGAUUAUGUAGAUAUUAAACUAACAUUUGUGAUUUGACCAGUUAUUUCCCAUUAACCCGUAUCAGGUUAGACAGGUUUUCAUAAGAACCUAUAUUCAUCACGUCUGUCCGUCUUCCAGAAGAAUGAGGGCCGUCGAUUUCAACUAGUAGCAACCGGUAGACGGUUGUAGUAGUUCCCAAUGUAUUGCAACCUGUUAAAUAAAAAAAACAAAAUAAUUACUGACAUUGAUUUAGUAGUAUUGACUAGAAUUAAAUGUCAUAGCUUCGAUUGUUUUGAUUAGUCAUUGAUAAUCUCUACAGAUGAGAUGUAGAACAAUUAUAAUAGAGACACAUAAUAUAUCAUCGGAUAAAUUUUAAGUGAAAAUAUACAAAAUAAGAUUCAAACUCUGAAACUAAAAAAUCUUAAUAAUUUCUAAGAUCAAUGAGUCAACCUUAUUUUGUCUCCCAACCGUUUUUCACACUCAGAAACCUCAAAAUUCUUCACACUCUCACUUCUACCCUAUUAUUUCCCUCCCAACCGUUCUUCCUCACCCUCGACCCCUCGAUGACCGUUACUCUCAACCCAUCGAUUUAAUACAGUGCAACUGUCUGACGGUUUUAUUUCUCUCACUAGUCGCGUCUUCGGCUCUCUAUUGCAGCUAUUUCGAAACCCAUUUUUUUGUUAUAAACAAGUAUGUUAUGUAUAAAAUUUUAUGGGUUUACCCUAUUAUCAUCUUCAUUUUGUUUCUUUAUUCCGACAGUUACUUCCAUUCCACAACCGUUUUCUUUUUCAAAAACCCUGGUUGUUGCUAUAAAAAGGUAUUGUGGUUCUAAAAAUAUUUGGGUUCAUCAUCGUCACUCAUUGCUUCUUUUUCUUCUCGUUAUUGUAAAGUUUUUGUUAAGGAUUUUAUUUUCGUGUUUAUUUCAUACGCGUGGAUGUUUUUUUGGCAUUGUUUUUGUAUUUUGUUUACAACAUUUCCUAUUUUAUCAAUUUGUGGGUUUCUCUGUUUUUCUCUGUAGACUGUGGGUUUCUUUGUUUUAUUCAUUUUCUUUUAAACAAUCUGAUGAAGGUGGAACCUGAUCAGAUCUGGUUUCAAAUCGACUUUCUGGGAUCGACUUUCUUAGAGAUCGACGUUGUCCAAAUCGACUUUUUGUCCAGUUCGACUUCUGAGAAAGUAGAUCUCUGGGAAAGUCGACCUUCCCAUGAGUUAACUUGGGACCUCCCCAAACCUAUAUGGGUAUCUCAAUUCAUUUCGGGCUAUCCGAACCUCUAGUUGCUGGUGCGUUGUGACCAAGUUCGGAAUACUGUAUCAUAACAAUCUUUGAUUUUUUAUUUGUUAUAGUUCUGUUAGAAAAUGUCUUCAUCUAGUUCUGAUGAUGCUCCAAAGAAAAAACUUGUAUAAGUUCAAAAAAUUCUCAGCCUCGCGUUGUAUCAUUCACCUCUGAUGGUAAUUUUUUUUAAAUAAAUAUAUUUUAUUCAAGUCUGUGAUUUUAGUAUGUAUUAUGAUUGCUAGUAAGGAUAUGGUGCUAUUCAGAACGCAAUAUGGAUUUGUCACUUAUCCAAAUCAAUUUAUUUUAUCUGGGUUAGAUUUCAAUAUUAUAAAAUAUUUGUUUUGAAUAUCUCCCAUGUUAGUUUGUCAAUUUUAUUUAAUCCAUGUUAGUGUUCAUGAGAAGAGACAGUUUGAUCAAAAUUAAUAGAGUACGCAUUGUGUUUUCUAUUUCCUUUUGCAAUAAUCUUAUUUUCGGAGUUUGUGAUUCUGCACAACUGUUUUCCGAAUUUAACUAUAUAACCUAUAUCACACAACUGACUUAUGUUAAUUAGGUUGUGUUUUAAACCUUCUACUAAAUAUACAUUUUUAAGAAAAUGAUUAUUUACACUACCUACUGUACCCAUUCCUAAUAUGGUACCUGUUUUGUCAUCUGCGAAGAUGACAGUUUUCCCCUUGGGAACUGAAACUAUAUCUCUUAACAGACUUCUGUUUCCAGUCAUGUGACGUGUGCAUCCACUGUCGAAUAGCCGUUUGGACAUAUGAUUGACCUGUGGAUAAGAGAAUGGUUUUUCCUUAGACACCCAUAUUUUUGGGUCUUAAAUGAUUAACAGAAAUAUUCUUAAAAUGUUGCAGUUCUUCCUUAGACACCCAUAUCUCUUUUAUACUCAUUUUGUUAUUGGGAGAAAUCUUUUUAUGUUUAACCUGAGUGUCUUUGUGUGUGGAUUCUCGCACAAAAUAUUUAUUGUAUGAUACAGAAGUGUUUGGAGAAGGAGAUUCAUGUUCAAAACCUAAACCGAACUUUCUUAGUCCAGUGUUGGAUUUUUUAAUCAUGUCAUCAAGCAUCUUGGAACUAUAUGUGAAUUUUGAAAUAUCUUGUUUAUAUUCACAUAUUUUUCUUUCUAAUAUUUCUAUAUGAAAUGCUUGUGAGUUAAUGUUUACUAGCAGAUCUUUUUCGAGUGUCUGACAUUUCUCUUUAUCUUUAUAUCCUAAAAUCGUUUCAUCUUGUUUAACUUAUUUCCUUGUUAAUGAUUCUAGUUUUGUUUCCAGAUUCAGAUUCAUUUCUUUUAGACGUUCUAUUUGAUCUAGAUCUUUUAAAUGUGUGGAAGAAGGAUUCUUCCCUGGUCUCAGCAUGAUCUAAGAGGAUUAAAUUAUGCUCCUUUAGUUGUUCUACAACUUUUUCUCUAGAUUUUAAUUUUUUUGUUAAAUCAGUGUUUUCAAGCCUAAGUUUUUAGUUCAUGAUUAUCAGACGAAUUAGUAUUUUGCAUGCAUUUUUCUUGUAUAGACUUACCUAAUUCCUUUUCUGAUUCAUACCUAGAUACUAGCUCUAAAUAAGACGUUUCUAGUUCUUGAUAAUCAUAAAAACUUACCUGGGUGUCUGAGUCGUUGGCCAUCAGACAUCCAUCAACUUCAGAGUCUUCAUCAGUAUCAGACCAGCUGAUUUGAUGAGCAGUAUCCCUAGACUUUGGAUAGUUAUAUCUUGUGUGUCCAGUUUUGUUACAUCUGUAACAUAUUACUUCCUUUUGUUUUUCUGCUUCCUUCUAUUUAGAUUGGUCUGGCCUGUGUGGCUUGUAAUGUGAACUGCUCGCUUUAGAUUCUUUCCUUUUCUUGAUCAGCUUAUAUAGUUUGGCAGUGAUAAGUGCAAGCUCAUCUUCAUCAGAUUAUGCCAUCAGGUUCCCAACUAACUCCACUACACGAAGCUUGUUCAAGUCGUGGGCUUCUUGGAUGACAUUUCUUUUCGAAUCAUAUUUGUCAGGAAGGCUUUUUAGAAUUUUUCCAACUUGAUUCUUUUCGCUGAUAGGCUCACCCAUACCAGCUAGAUCGUUGACGAUGUUGAUGAGACUUUUGUUCAUCUCAAAAAUAGUUUCUCCUUCUUUCAUAGUGAAGUUCUCAUAUUCCCUAUGAACAUGUAGAAGUUUGUUCUCCUUCACAUGAGAUGUGCCUUCAUGAAUGGUUUCCAACUGUUUCCAGAUGUCAUGAGUUAUGUCGAACCCUCGGAUGGAACUGUACUCAGAUUCAUCUAAUGCCCUAUAAAGUGCAUUCAUUGCCUUUGCGUUGAAUCUGCACAUUUGUUUGCCGAGAAUGGUCCAUUCGACUUCUUUUGUAGUUGGAGGCUCAUAUUCUUCAUGAAUGACUCUCCAUCUCACUGUGUAGCGAGACAUCAGAUGUAUUCUCAUUUUUUUCUUCCAAAAUUCAUGCCUGGUUCCAUCGAAGAUCGGAGGUUUGUUUGAUGUAAAACCCUGAUAUCCUUGUUCUUCUUGUGCCAUGUUAGAAACAGAUGUGAAACUGUUAAUAACCUACUUGGCUCUGAUACCACUUGUAGGAUCUUGAUCAGAGGCUUGGGGGGGGGGGUAAUAGCCUCUUUUCGUGAUUUCUCAGAAGAUUUGCGGAAUACCUGAGAAUAUAAGUUAGAGACAAGGAUAUAUAUAAAGGUUGUCUGUUCUUUGUAAGUUUACCGCAAUAUACAAAUACUGAGUCCACUUAUAAGAUUGUGGUUUUUAUAUAACUGUAGUAUAUGAAUAUUAAAUUAUAUAGACACACGUUUAAGAGCAAGCAAACAGAUGACUAAGUAUAUAUUCUAACUUGAUAAAAACUGCUUUUUAACCUAACUGUAGUAUAUGAAUACCAAGUUCUCUUAUUAGCGAAUAAAUAAUAUAAGUUAAAAUAUAUAAGUAUAUGUGACUAGGUAACUGGAUAUGUAUAUUUGUCUAAUAAUAACCUCAGUCAAAUACCAGAUAACUGGAUGAGGGAUUUGUAGGAAAAUAGUCAACCUCAAUCUAUGACCAUAUAACUAGAUGAGGGAUCUCUUUUUAGUUGUUUUUUAUCUUGUUAAACUUUUAAAAAUAGAAAAGCGGAAAGUAAAGGAGACAUAAAGAUUUUUAUACUGGUUCACCCAAACAAGGACUAAUCCAGUUCCGAUGAAACACGGAGGUCACUAGCCUGAAGGUAAUGACAAAACUUCUGCCAAAUUUUAAGGCUAAACGCCUGUGAACCACCUAAGAGUAUUCAAGAACUUUUAAAAACCUCUGCCAAGCUUUAAGGCUAAACAUUUGUGAACCCUCUAAGAGUAUUAAGGGACUCUUAAAAACCUCUGCCAAGCUUUAAGACUAAAUGCUUGUGAACCCUCUAAGAGUAUUAAGGAACUCUUAAAAAACCUUGAACCUUUAAGGCAGAUUCAACCUAAGAGUUUUCCUAGAAACUCUAUAGAACCACACCGAGUUUUAUGGUUGAAUUCGUUGAAUCUUUCAAAUGUUGAUGUUGAGACGCACCUCUUACAACACUUGGACUACUUACAAGAUGUAGAGUUUUUUCUUCUAACACACUUUCAACAUACACAAGAGGGGAAGAAGAAGAAGUUGAAGAACUAGAACACACAACCUUGAGAGCAACUUUCACACAAAGCUUGAACAAGAGCUAAAGCUUGAGCAAGAGCAAGUGAGUAAGAAAGUAGAGUUUUGAUCCAAAGAGAGCUUUGACAAGAAUGGCAAGUGAUGGCUUUAGCUCUUGGGUGUGCACCUCCUUUUAUAGUAGACGUUGGAGACAUGAAGGUAAUUUCUUCAACUCUUAAACACCUAGGAAGAAGAGAUUAAAAAACCUUCAUUGAAUACUCCAUUGGCGAUUUUCAUUGGUAGAGAGCUUCACUUGAAUUUGAAUUUUCAUCUUGGGAUUUUGUGUAGCAUUAAAUCCAAGAUCUUGAUUGGAUUUGAUCUUGGGAGAUUGAGCCCUCACACGUUUUCCACUCUCCAUUUUUGAACUCUUUAUCUAGGAUUUUGUGUAGUAUUGAAUCUAAGAUCCUUGUAGUUAAUAUGUUGGAUAUGCUAUUGGAAUCUUUAUCAUGAUUGCACUUCUACACGUUUUUUACAUCUUGGGUCCAUUUGAAGCUUGAAUGAAUAGUUGUAGUUCUCACACCUUGUUGAUUAACCUUUAAGACAUUAAUCAACUUAAAACAUGAGUUAAUGUAAGCAAGUAAGUGUGCAUAAUUAAAUCCAAGCUUCAAUAAUUAACUUGAUUAAUAAUAGAGAUUUGUUUGAUGAAAAUAAUUAAGACUAAUCUCAUUUUAGUUUAAUCAAAUAUCAAGUCAAUUUUAUCUACAUGAGUUCAAUAGAUUUAUCUAUGUAACUUUAACUCAUAUAUUUUUCUGUAAAUAAAAUUAAUUAACAACUAAAUAUGUCAUUGAGAAUUUUAUUUCUACAAUACUAUCUCUUGAGGGGGAGUAUCACGAACUCUCCUCGACAUUUCUGUCGCUCCGACCGGAUGUCGUCACAUCUCGGGGGGUAGUAUCACAGAUUCUCUCUGGCACUUCUGUCGCUUCGGUCAGAAAUUGUCACGUUUUAUCCAGGUACUCAAGGGGAGAGUAUCACAAACUCUCCCCGACACUUCUGUCGCUCCGGCCGGAAGUUGUUGAAUAUGAGCACGGUAAAUCUGUCGCUUUAGCCAGAUUUACUGAGAAUUUAUUCGAACAAAAGGAAGAGCCGGAAGUUAUUGAAUAUGAGCACGGUAAAUCUGUCGCUUUGGUCAGAUUUACUGAGGAUUUAUUCGAACAAAAGGAAGAGUAACACGAAAGGUAACAUUGCACGAUAAGUUCCAUAAGUCAAUAAAAUAUGCGUUUUAAACUGAUUCAGUUGUUUUACAGGAUGUUUUCUUUUUUUGCAGGUAUGAUUCUGUCGCUUUUGACAGAAUCAGAUCUAUUUUGUCGCUUUGACCUCGAUAGAUCAAGGAUCAUUUUGUCGCUUUGGCCUUAAUGAUCCUAACCCAUCAUUCUGAUUAUUUGCAUUGAUGGGUUAACCGUCAUUGCGAACAUAAAGUCGCUCUUGAUCAGGGUUGACUAUAAACAUUAGUUUUAUCGCUUUGGCUAGAACUAGAUUCUGCCGCUUUGGCCAGAAUCAUAUCUAUUUUGUCGCUUUGGCCUUAAUAGAUCAAGGUCCAUUUUGUCGCUUUGGCCUUAAUAGAUCAAGGUCCAUUUUGUCGCUUUGGCCUUAAUGGACCAAGAAUUAUUUCGUCGUUUUGGCCUUAAUAAUUCUCUCAUCUUAUCGCUUUGGCCUUGAUGACACACCAAAUGUCGCUCUUCAUCAGAGUUAGAUUAUAAACACGUAGUUCUGUGGCCUAGAACUAGAUUUUGUCGCUUCAGCUAGAAUCAGUCCAUUUUGUCGCUUUGGCCUUAAUGGAUCUAGAAUCAUUGUAUCGCUGUGGCCACAAUGAUUCGAUCACAUCUUGUCGCUUUGGCCUUGAUGCGGAUCACACACACAACCUUGUUUGGAGGGGAUACUGACGAUAUCCGCAUGUUUCUUUUGCUCUCUUCAGGAGGGAUCGGAGUACUGGUGAGACAUUAUGCCUGAUUACGUCAGUCACUCCUAGCAACGUCCUUCAACAAGGACUAGAGUUUCGUCGCUUUAUGUCGGACCCCCGGAAGGCUCCACGGUUGUGGAACAAAGGUCGUCGUCAAGUCCUCAAGUUAACCCCGUGAGUAACCGAUUGGGCUAUCAAGUAGCCGAUUCCAGUGGUGAAUCGUCGAGUCAAGGUCGUAUUAGUCAGCACUGGUAGGCUGCCAACAAGUAACGUACACGAAUCGGCGAUUCAGGUGGGAAUCGGCUAUUCGCCACCAGAAUUGGCGAUUUGGUAGCCCAAUCGACAAUUCAUGGGGUUAACUUGAGGAUUUGACGAUGACAUUUGUUCACAACCGUGGAGCCCUCCGAGGGUCCGGCAUAAAGCGAUAGAACCUUAGUCCUUGUUGAAAGGCGUUGAUGGGAGUGACUGACGUAAUCAGACAUGUCUUACCAACAGUAAACUUAGAAAGAACAGACAAUCUUUUUAUAUAUCCUUGUUUCUAACUUGUAUUCUCAUGCAGGUAUUUCGUAAAUCUACUAAGAAAUCACGAAAAGAGACUAUAACCCCUCUUAAGCCUCUGAUCAAGAUCUUACAGAUAAUUUAUUUGUUUAUUACUGUAUUAUGUUGUAAGAACAAUUAACGUAUAGGUAAAAAAAAAUAGAUUAUAUAGCAAAUUUAGGAUACAUAUUGCCGAGUAUAACUGGGCUAGUUUUCUUGGAAAUGUCUUAUUUGACAGGAUGAAGAAAUGCCGCGACAGCAUUCUAAGUCGCAAGAGAACCAACGAGCCUUCCAAAGUCUACAUGAAUGAAUGGUUGUGUAGUAUGUUUAAUGGUAAAUUUUGAAUAUUUAUUUUUACUAUUUAAAUUCAUUUAAUGAAUAUGUAUCCAUUUAGGUAUGACUUUUCAAACAUCCUUUUGUUGCUAGCCCAAAAGAAGAAAUUGUGGCUAACGAACCCUAUUUUAAGAAAAAAUGGGAUGGAAAAUUAACCUAUUUGAAAUAGAAGCUUCUCACUGAUUCGGAGGUAAUUUUAUUCCUGAAGAUUUGUCAUAAAAAGUGUUUUAAUUGUGUGUUAAAAUAAGCAUUGAGUAUGAUUUAACAAAUUCCUCCAGCUUGGAUUUCGUCAUUUGCAUUGAGACAACACUGUAGCCUGUAGCUGUAGGUAAUAAUGAAGUAAAUGAACGUAAUAAAUUAAGAUCUGAUAAUUUUUGUAUCUCUCAUUAUAGACUAAUUUAUGACCGGUCAGGUCUCAAAUGGAUCCGUAUUGGACCCUAACCCUAGUUACAUUACGGCAAUAACUAAAUAUUACUGAUUCAAACAAAUUAACCAAAUAAUUUAUUGAACUUACUAUACUUCUUCUUCCCUUGAGAUUUAUCAUUUGUUAUUCCGAGGUCCCGUUCUGCCGUCGAAACAUGCAUGUAAUGUGGACCUUCAGUGGGACUAGUAGCCCUUAGAGUCGGUGGGUUUUGGUUGUAGCGGCUUUGUUAAAUCACAUGGACGGUCAAAAUCUACAUCAAUCAUCGAGCCGUCGGCGAUCCGUCUCUAACUUUAAAGUUUUUUACGGCCUUUCAAAUAAAUACCCAAAAAAAUUUAUUAGAAAAUAAGCAAAAUAAUUCGAGUGAGAUUCAACAUGUCUGCAAAGCAAGUAUUCAAAAUCUCAGAAUGCCAGAUCCAGCCACAGAGUCGACCGGAUUCUUCUCCGAAGAGGUACGAAUUAUCAUCGUGGGACUUGCCGAUGAUCCCCAUCGGACCGAUCCAAAAAGGUCUCCUCUUCCAUAUCCCGUCGGAAGUCUUACCGCAGCAACUCAAUCCGAUCAUCGACAAACUCAAGAGCUCUCUCUCCAUUGUUCUCUCUCACUUCCUUCCCCUAUCCGGCCGUCUCGUCACCGAAACCGUCGAAGACGGGGGGCUCUUCACGUUUAUACGAUGCGGGAAUGAGGAUGCCGGAGCUGGGUUUCACCGAGCGGUUGCAGAUAAGAUUUCUGUUGCUGAUGUACUCAACUCCCGUUACUCUCCCACCUACGUUCGGUGAGGAAUUUGGGGUUAUUUGCAAACACGUCCCUGGAUAAUGGAUAUGAUUUUGUGAUAAUUAAUCCUUUAUUUUUAUGUAAUAAUAUGUAAUUUACAGAGAUUUCUUUCCUUACAACGGGAUGAUUAAUCACGAAGGUCAUCACCUUCCUCUGCUUGCGGUUCAGGUCACGGAGUUAAUCGACGGGAUAUUCCUCGGAUGUACGGUAAACCAUAUUCUCUGCGACGGAACUUCGUUUUGGAACUUCAUGAGGACGUGGUCCGAUGUCGUCUCCGGUAAACUCUUCUUUUCCGAUGACCAAAAAGGCCCUUUACUGAUUCAUAACACAUCAUCGCCGAUCAAGUUGCCAUUCCAGAAUCUGGAUACCCUCAUCGAUAAAUCAGAAUCUUCUGUGCCGGAUCUUCAAGAUAAAAUCUUCCAUUUCUCGCCGGCCUCUAUUGCGCGACUUAAAAAACAAGUCAAUUCUGAGAUCGUCACCGUGGACAUAGAGACUGACAAUCGGAAAAACCGGUGAUCUCAUCUCUCCUAUCCGUAUCUGCGUUAAUCUGGAGAUCGAUCACAAGAGCUCGGUGUUUACCAAAGACUGAACUGGUAAGUUUUAAACUGCUGUGUAAUUACCGGUCAAGACUGUUACCUCCACUUCCGCCGACAUACUUCGGAAACUGCAUCGGAGCAGUCUCCACCGUCCCCAUCCCUUCCGGCGAUCUUCUCGCACGAAACCUUGGACAGACGGCUUCCCUAUUACACGGCAUCGUGAGUUCGGUGAAGGAUGACGUUAUAAUACGGAAAGAAAUCGACAGAUAUGUGUCGGAACCUGUAUUUUUCACAAUCAGUGGCUUCGCAAAGAACAAUGGUAUUGUGAUGACAAGCUCACCGCGGUUUGAGGUAUACGAGUGUGAGUUUGGGUUGGGAAAGCCGGUCGGAGUAUUGAUCGGAGGUGCUAAUAUAUAUGACGGGAAGGUGACAUCUUUUCCCGGAAGAGAAGGGCAUGGGAGCAUGGAUAUGGUUAUUUGUCUCUCGCCG